Molecule: long non-coding RNA, 11663 nt
Organism: Panthera uncia (snow leopard)
Lineage: Eukaryota; Metazoa; Chordata; Mammalia; Carnivora; Felidae
Exons: 2
Source: RefSeq, a predicted model, not a curated record
UCCACCGCCAGCUUUGGGUUUUAAACGUUCUUACUUCCCGACGUCUGCCUGCAAUUUUACAAAGGUGUUGUUUGGAAAUACUGUGAAAAAUCCUGCAACCUACCAACAGGUUGAGCUCUUCCCCCUCCCGAGGUCUAGCUCGGCCCCCUCCCCCGACCCAACUUUCCUGCGCAGCUGUCUUCCUCCCCUCCCCCUCCUGAUUUCUUAUUAUUUGCUUUUCAAAUUUAUUACUUCAACAUGGCCUGUGAUCUGGAAAAGGGAAGGAUUAAAUAUCCAGAAAAGAGCUGGUGCCUAAUAGACUUCUGACUAAACCCAGAAGGAAAUUAUUCAGUGUUUUAUGAGAUAUUUUGUGGUCACACACACUCUCUCUCUUUUUUUAAUUGAAAUUGAAAUACUUUUAAAGACCCCAAGUUGACCCCACUUGGUCCAGUUUUAAUUUCUGUUGGUGUAAUUAAAUGGUGAAUUCUGAUUUAAGAAUAAAAACAAUAACAGCCGAAGUUUGCAUCUGUUAGAACUGCUGGUAAUGGAUAGAUAUACAGUACUUUUAAACACACGAUUUUUAAAAAAUUGUUCAUUAAGGGGAAAUGAAAGUGAGCCGUUGUAAUGAUCUGUACAUUUCGUCACUGCUAUAUGAGCCAUACCUAAGAAAAUUAAUCUUGCCAUUUAAAAGUAAACUCUAGGGGGUUUGGGGAGGGAGAUGGCUCUAUUUAUAAUCCUCAGCUGCAUAUACAUCGUCUAAUAUUAUGCAUGAUUUGUUUUUUAAUGCUAACACGGCUGGUAAUUAGCUGUAUGAUUAUACUUGUAUAUUUCAUUAGGACUUUGGCUGAUGUCAUUGUGAAUUAUUCAGCCAUAUUAAAACAAUUUUCAAUUGAGAUAAUGACACGCCUCAAAAUUAUGCAAAUGCAGGCUGCAUUGUGCAAAAUAAUUAUGACAAAUGUAAAGCAGGUAGAAAGUUUCCCAAUGCAGAUCGGUUUUCCACCCUGGUGAUGUCAUUUCCCCCCUGGCCUAAGUUAGUCAUUCAUUAGCUGAAUAGCAGCAGCCGUCUCCUCUGGAGGAGAGCCUACAGAAACCAGCAUUUACUGCAGGCACCUAGAGGGGGCAACAGGGUCUUCUCAUUAAGAAAUUUGCUUUGUUUUCACUUACUCCAUUAACUUGUUUAUAUACAGUGAGAUGAUUUUUGUUAUUGAUUUUAAAUAGUGUUGAAUGAUGCAUUUGCCAUUUGUAAAGUGUGACCGAACGAGAAAGGUUUCUUGGUGAUGUGCACGGUUACUUGGAGAAAAUGUUCAGCACAUUUAAUCAGCCAGUACAGUUUAUUUUAAGUAACCAAAUGGAGGUUAAUAAUUUCUUGAUUGCGCUGACAUCAGCAUCCAUUUCAAAAGGACAGCCAGGACUCAGUAUGCUUUUUUGGUUUAAGAGAACCAUUCUGUCUAUUUAUGAUUUCUUGAAAUGUAAAGACGUCAGUUCUAAAAGCAGGAAAAUUAUCAUUGUGCGAGAUUAGAAAUAGCGUCCCUGUGUGGUUUGCUGUGAUCUGCAGAGGGCCUUUUUGGGGAAUAUUUUAUUGAUCCUUGCAAUAACUGGAAGAGGCUGGAUAAGGCAGGACUUUGUAUGCCAUUUUACAGAUGGAGACAGAGGCUUAGGGAGAUUAUGUGGUUUGUCAAAGGUCACCAGAGUAGGACCUAGGUCUUCCUAAAUUUUAGGGUUGGUUUAUCUUCCCACUGAAUCCCACCCCGCUUAAUGCAUCAUAUUAUAUUCUAGAAGUAUGUACUACUGUGGGCAGGUGCUUGUUCAUCUUAGAAUCAUGACUAGUCAAUCAGUUUUGCCAAAGGUCCCUAGAUUUUAGGUAGAAGAACCAUUCUUAUUUUAUAAAGUUCAGCUAAUUCUAGCUAGUGGUAGCUAACAAGAAUAGUUGCAUUUUAGUACCAUGAUUCAUCACCAUUGACAAUUUAUUGUUAGUUGUACUGAUUAUGAUAAUGACUUGCAUACUUACAUGUACUGCUGCCUUCCCAUACUUCCAGAGCUGGCCUCUGGUGUUGAGGAAGAGCAGUCCAGAGUCAUGUCUUUUUUUUUUUUUUUUUAAUGUUUAUUUAUUUUUGAGAGAAAGAGCAUGAGUGGGGGAGGAGCAGAGAGAGAGGGAGACAAAGAAUCCGAAGCAGGCUCCAGGCUCUCAGCCGCCAGCACAGAGCCCAACAAGGGGCUCGAACCCACAAACCGUGAGAUCGUGACCUGAGCCGAAGUCGGAUGCUUAACCGACUGAGCCACCUGGGCACCCCAGAGUUGUGUCUUGAUUCUGCAGCUUAUUAUUUGUUUGACCUUGAACCGUCAUAAACACUCUGAGCCUUAGUUUCUUUAGCAGUGAAAUGGGAACAAUAAUAAGGCUGACUGUCUAUGGCUUGUUGUGAAUAUGUGUGGACAAAAGUACUUCAUUAACUGUGUAGUCCUUACAUAAAUAGAAAAGAGUAAUGAUUAUGGUGGACUUUAUGCUAGAUAUUCUUAAUUUAUAAAUGAUAAGCAGAAUAACUUUUAUGUCUGUGUGGAGGUUCCCAGGCCUAAUCAUGAUACUGUCUUAAAUUACCAUGAAAGUGAAUAGCAGGGCCAUAUACAAGGAGUUAAGUGUCUUUAGUAAUUACCCACAAUUGCCAUUCAGCCAGUAUCUCUUCAGAGGAGGAAAAUGGCAAAGUAGGCGGGUAAUUGGUUCUGUUACUGGGUAACUUCUGAUUACAUUCAUUUUCAAAGUGCCAAGCGCUUAAUCUAUUGGCAAUAUACCCCCUUAAAAUAGGUGGAUGUGCAAGCUUGUAUUCCAGCCUGACCAUGGGCUAGAUUCUACAAGAAGCUUUACUGGUCACCUGCAACUGUGAGUGUGGAUGAGUAAGCCAAUUCUGUCAGGAAGUCAGGAUCUAGCACAUCUGGGCAUUACAGAGGCUAGCAUGUAGUCAGGAUUUCUAAAAGUGCUUACCUCAUUAAAACUUGUCAAAAUUUCAUAUUCCAAAAUGCCUGUUGAAAUUAACUCAAUUAGAAUCUCUGGAAUUGGGGUCAAGGAUCCUGCAUUUUGAACAGUCUUGCUAAAUUUAGCUGUGUGAUCUUGGGCAAGUUUUAAACUCUCUGUUCCUCAAUUUUGUCAUCUAUAAAAUGGAAACAUAGUGCCUAUUUCUGAGGAUUAUUUUAGAGAUUAAAUGAGUUAAUACAUAUAAAGUGUUUACAGUUGGCACAUGGAAUCUUCAGUAAUGGGUGACUCAUUAUUAUUAUCAUUAACAUUCGUAUUACUGUUCUCCUUGAAGUUUGAGACGACUACCAUAGACCUUCCUAAAGAAAGGUUUUCUCUCUGAGAAGACAGCACGUAGGUUAGUUUGCUAGUACAGAUAGCCAAUACAGGUCUCCCCAAAUCAGGUUGGCUUUCAUCCAUGUGAUGGGUUUAGCUAUGUCACCAAGAUAAAAAGCUCCUUGAAGAUUUACAUGUUAGUAUUGAGGUAUGCUGUCUGUCAUCUGGAUCAGCAGGAUUUGUUUCAAAGAUUGCCUGAUUGUAUCAUAUCUCAGGUUGGUCAGACACAUUCUGAAGUCCAGGAGGGGCUGGUUGGCUACUCAGUCUCAGGUCUGUACCCAUGAGCUGGCUUUUAAAAAUUUCUGACACCUCUUCAGUGACCUCACUGGCCUUGGACAAUUUCUUUAACUUUUCCGAGCCUUAGUUUCUCCAUCUGUAAAAUGGACUUAAUGAUCUCUACUUUGCCAAGAGAAUUAGAAAUAAUAAUGAGAAAGGCCUGCUAACUAACAUAGUACUUAAUACACAAGAGCUCAGCAAAGGAUAGAUGCAGUUAUAUUAGUUAUUAUUAUUUUUAGAAAUGAUUGUAAACUAUGAGAAGGAGUAACUUAACUGGCUGGCCCUUUAGAACUAGGGUGAGAACUAAUGAAUUAUAUGGAGAGAAUUUAUUGGACUGUGACAAGUAUCAGCGAACUAAGGCUGGAGGGCCAAGUCUGAACCACUGUCUGUUUUUGUAAAUAAAGUUUUAUUGGAACAUAGUCAAACUCAUUUGUUUACGCAUUGUUUAUAGCUGCUCUCAGGUUCCAGUGGCAGAGUCGAGUAAUUGUGACAGUGACCAUAUGGCCCGCACAGUGGAAAUUAUUUACUAUUUGGCCCUUUACAAAAAUGUCUGCUGACCCCUGGCCUGUGGAGUUGAUCUGAAAUAGGGAAUGUGAUUGUGUACUUUUUUCUCCUUCUUACUUGGGUUGGAGCAAGAUCCAGUAAAUAUUAAGAAAUAAUUUAACAUUAAUAUGUCAAAAAUAUUUACAUAAACAAAUCUCUGUUUUAGCAUUGAGUCUAAUGAUGUUAAAAGUUGAGAAUCAGUAGAAUGUAUACUGAGUUAUAUUUCGUAUGGUUAAGAUCCUAACUCCAGCAAAUGUUGGUAUCAUCGGUCUUGAGUUAAUCAAAAACUACUUGUUGAAUGCUGACCAUGUACUUAGAGCUCUGCAAGGUGCAGAGAUGGUUGCAAACAGUUCGUGGUGUGACCCUGUUUCUCAAGAAGCUUAUCAAUCUUGGUAGAGAGAUGAGAUCAACACGUUUUUAAAAAGGUAAAAACAGCAAAAGACGUUCUAUAACCCGGAGAAUUGUGUUGACAGUAAAUGCAACAUGUGGUCAAGGGAAGGCUCGCUAUCUGCAUGAUUUUGGAACAAGAAUUUAUUCAGUUCCUCAGAUGCUGAUUGAAAGUUUACUAUGUGCUGAACAACGGGAUACAGAGAUGAAGGAGAAUGGCCUCAGCCCUGAAAGAGCUCAUACAUAGUUUACCCUCUUGGACAGACAUGGGUCACAGAAAAGCUGUGAGACUCUUUCUGUGCUUCUUAGUUAAAGUGGAGAUUAACUAAAGUCACUAUUUAUAGCCUUUCAUGAUCUUUCUGGAAACUAGAAAGUAUUGUCUUUAUCUUCGAAGUCUCAUUCACUCAGUGCUUAUUUAUAGAGCACCUACUUUGUGCCAGAGCCUGUUCUAGGCCCUGGGGAUACAGCCGUGAACAAGAUAGGCGAGAAUCCCUGCCCUCAGGGUUCUUACGGGGCCUUGGUAGGUUGGAGCCUCCCCUGUACUUUGCACGUGUAUGUUCUGUGAUGCUUAUCUGUGUUCUUUCCCUUUGCCUCUCACUCCCGCCCCCCUCCCCACCCCAGGGUGGUUCUCAGGAACUGAGGGUUGGGCCUUACUCACCUCUGGGUCCCCACACCUUAUUCAGCGCUAUUCACUAAGUAUUUAUUGAAUAACUGAAUGAUAUAAGUCAUUUAAAAUGUCCUUUCCCACCACCUGCUUUCUUUAAGCUUGGCCCAGCGUCUUCUGGCAGAGGACCCACUGUCGGCCAUUCACAUGUAGGCCAGCUGCAGCACCCCAUCUCACACUUUUUAUUUCUCUUCUAAAAUCCACGGUUGUCUUGCACCGAGGAUGUGAAACAGCGUACAGGAUUUUCUUGAGGCAUACUCACCAAAGAAAUCGGUGCCUAUUUGGGACUGGAUGAUGAGGCUAAGAGCCAGCAUCUCUAUCCAUUUGAAUACUUUUCCAACCUUCGGCCCUCAGCCCAUAAAAAGUCAGGGCUGUGGGGCGGCACUCUGAGCAAAGAGUGGACUUGAGGGGAACAGUCCCUCCUCACCUGAGUGUGGUUGCAGCUACUUCCAGCCAGCAUGUUUUUCAGACUGAUGGUCUUAACUAGGCCAGUGUUUGAUGGUGACUCAAAAUUGUAAGCAAUUAAAACCUCCCUUGACAUUUAGAGUGUCAGGCACAUACUAAGGAAAUGUUAUUUUUAUGAAGUACACGAGUCCAUACAUGUAAAUACUUGGUUAUUAAUUAUGAAUCAAGCAUACCAUUGUUCGUAGCGGCAUCUAGUGAUACAUGAUGCAAGCCCAUUUAUCAAAGUCUGGUUUUAACCGAUAUCCAGAAUAUAAUUGCUCAAAUCAAAUGUAUUUGCGUGUCAUUUAUUAUAGCCAGGGUAGUUGGAUGUUUGCCAUCUUCCACUCAGAAUAAUAUUGUAGCCUGUGAUUACCCUUUGGUUUGGCUUUUAAAGAAAUUUCAAACAAAUUUAUCGGUUGUUGGAUGAAGGAUUCAUUGGCUUCUCAGAGAGGUGGUUGUGGGUUUCCUGCAUUUCUCGAAAAAUUUGCUCCCAUGCCCUUGCACAGGCACGGAUGGCUUUUUCCAGCCACACCGUGAUCUUUGCCGGCCCGCUGGAGAUUAGAACCCGGACCUUGGCCUUCAGAAGCACGGAUCACAUCCUGGCCUGUGAGCAUCCGUAUCCACAACACAUUUCAAGCAUGCAGAUGAUGAUUAUUACUGAAAGGGUGCUUUAGAAUCAUGCUAAUGGCAUCAAUCUGUAGCACACAUGCCUAAAUUAAUUCUGCUUUUAAAAUCAGAUGCACUGUUAGCAGCGUCAAAGAUGGAUAUUUGACAUUUAUCACACAGACGAGGACGUGUGGUUUAAUUACAUGAAUUUUCUAUAGAAUCUCUGUGGCUGUAUAAAUAGAUGCACGGUAGUGUAUGUCCUUACCCACGUGACCAUCAAGUUCACAGCCCUGUCUCCAUUCUUGGCCCACGGGGUGAGGAAAAUGGAGGAGAGGCCAUGUGUUACUAGUCAAGCUAGUGGCCCCACGGACAUCUUUCCCCCCACCUUACCUUUCCUUUUUCGUGACUCGGAGCACACCCAGGCUGUGGAACACCCCCCCUCCUCCCCAGCAUUGAGUUCCAAGCCUGAUCAGUGGCACUAAACAUUAAACUCUUGUCUUUGAGAAUAAUAGGCUUUGCUUUCUACACCCUCAAGCAUGUUGAGCUACUGUGCAGGCUGGAAAAUAAAAAUGUUCUAAUUGUGUCUUUUAAAUAAGCAUAGGAGUGAAUUAAUUAGACCAUAUUUUGUCUUUAGUUGCUUAGUUACACAAUAGUAUUCCUGAGCACGAGAAGAUAAAUUGGUUCUUUUUGUGCUGCCUGUCCCUUAAUCAUAAUUACUGUAUUGCUUAGGAGAGUAAAGCAUACAUAGAUUUUGAAUUUUUUAUUAAUAGUCAAAAAUAUGCAUAUGAUAUAUAAAGUAUAUGCUGUUCAACCUGUUUUAUAUGCUUUUAUGUGGGAAGAAGUUUUAUUGUGGUGGUAACAUUUGCAUUAGUUGCUCAAAGAUGUAGUUCUGGGAAAUACAUAAUUGAAAUGUUUUUGAAUUGCUUUUUCUGGCCUUUUCAAUCUUAUUCAAAAUAAUAGUGCCUCCAGUCUUGGAGCAGUCAUUCUCAUUUGAUUUAACAUCUUUCUUUGCACUGCAUGUGUGGUGCCCAGCUUUAACCCUGCAGAGCCUACACGAGGCUGUGAUUCAUAGGCUUCAGAUGUCGCCCUUACGUUUUGGGGCUCACGCUGUCAGGGGUCGGAGGCAGCGGGGCUGUGGAGCACCCGCAUCCUGCCGCCAUGAAAUGCCCCUUGCUCUUGGCACACCUCCACGUUCCUUGCAGCAGGCCCCAGGGUUAGAGAUCGUAGGUGUGUGUUGUAGCUUGGGCUGGGCAACGCUCUGUGCUUGCCUUCUGGGGUCUUGGAAAAUGGGAUGUUGCUACUGGAACUUGGGUGUCUGGCCCCCUACCCCCACCCGCCACCAGGGAGGCAGCAGGAGUUGGACAGCUUGAUAUAGUUAUUGAACAAUGGGAGAGUCUGGCUUAAGACCCAAGAUGCAUGCUGGGUAAAUGUAUGUGAAAAUUGACCCCAUUGUUCUGCUGUAUUUGAAAAGCAAGUAAAUUAUUUACAGAUAUUUGCUAAUUAAAGCCCAUGUUGUUUUACCAGCACAAAAGAACACAGUAUAACUGGAGACAAAGAACUAAGUGCAAAUAAUUUAAAUUUGCUAAUUCUGUGUAUUCUUCUUAAGGGAGGAAUAUGUUUUAAAAAUAUGUACAUGUACAUAUACAUACUCAUUGAAGUGUGUAUGUACAUACGGAUAUGGAUGUGUGGUUUUUGUUUUGUUUUUACCCCCACAUGGGAAGUCUUCCAUGCUACAGAGAUAACAGGCCAAGUUAUCACCAGUUCCUUGUCCCUGGGCCUGCCCCAAGCCCCCUGUGGAACAUGGAGUUGGAAAUCAUUUUGACAGAAUGCUGUUUUCCCUUUAGUCCAAGCUUUGCUCACCAUCAUCUGGUUCGAGCUCAGCUUAGAGUACCACUGGACAAAAACAAACUAUCCAGAUAGUAUGCCAGCGAAUAAAAAUGUUCUUCCUCAUUGCCUUCUUCUCUGACUUUCCCCAACAACAGACCCAGGUGACUUUCCCCAACAACAGACUCCGGUUUAGAUGUUUUUCCUCCAUGACCACCCAGCUUUGGGGACAUUCUGGUUGGAAAUUUGCAUUGUAGAAUGAAGACCUCUGACAUGGGGUGAAGGGUUCAGAGGUGGAGAAGGUUGCUAAGAACAUUCUCAGAUUCUCAAGAGUCCUUCUGGCUGGAACGUUGGCAGAUCCAUAGGUGCGGCUGGUCUCUCUGGAUCUGCCAUCUGCACAGACAUGUUUGGUUUUAGGCGUGACUGGCUGGACGUCCCUUGUCUUUGUUGAUAAAGAGGAUCAGGAAGACUUUCCAUGGUCAUCUAAGAAAAAGGCUCAUGUCUGAUUUGUCAUGGACAUCUUAUCGACUUGCAGAACGUUCAAGAGAGCAAGUCUAGCCCCCUUUAUUCAAUGGACACAGAAAGGCCCAGGAAAAUCUUGGCCACAUGCUCAGAGUUCGUGAGUGACAAGCAGAACUAGAAGCCUGCGCCCUCAGGCACAGCAGGUCUCCUGCUUUGAGGAAGGACUGCUCUCUUAAGGUUGUACUCUGAGGAAAGUAGGCAAGAGUUUCCCAUGGGUGUAUUCAGGGCAGGUCAUUCGAGCGGCCUGUCUUAUACCAGGAGAUGAUGCCUCUGUGGUAUAUCACUCAUAAAAUCACUAAUGACUAAAGUAUGGACUUUAACGCCAAGAUACUUACCCAAGAGUCAGUGAUGACACAGAAACUAGGCUGGAUAUUCACACUGCCCUCUAGACCUUACCUUCAUUUCCUCAUUCUUUCCUGAAUUUAGGAGGGCCCUCUGAUGGUAACAUUUAUACUGGCUUAAGAAAAGCUUUGCCAAGAUGGCACUCUUGGUGAUAAAUGGAAUUGGCAUUCCUGCUACAUCUGAUAUUCAUGGAUGGUUUCUUUCAUUCAGAAAUGUUUAUUGCAUGCCUACUAUGUGUCGUGUCUCUACAAUGGGGAUAUGAGAGUUGACUAAUACACAGAUAUAGAUUUCUGUUCUCAUAGACCUUACUCAUUCUCUCAUAGUAAGGAGGGGAAAACAACCUGAGUUUUCCAAAAUGGAGGAAACCCAUCUCCAUCAUCUUAGAACCCUAUUCAUACAUUUUCUCAUAAAGGUUUCUCUUCUGCACAUUCCAGAGAAAUAGAUUUCUGUUCUCAUAGAGUUUACUCAUUCUUUCAUAGUAAGGAGGGAAAAGCAACUUGAUUGAGGUUUCCGAAAUGGAGGAAACCCAUCUCCAUCAUCUUAAAACUCUAUUCAUACAUUUUCUCCUAAAUAUUUCUCUUCUGCACAUUCCAGAGAAAAUGCCCCAACUUACUGUUUUUCAAAACCAUCUGCAAAAAUUUUACCCAUGGUGUUUUCAAUGAAGUUACAUUUUCUGUUUAUCAACUAGCUAUUAGUGUCAGGCAUUGCAUAUAUCUUGGUAUGUAAAUUAAAUGCUCAUUUAAUUCUCAAAGAAAUUCUCUAAGGUUGGUUGUAUUGUAGCAUUUCAUACUUUAUAGAUGAGGCAACUGAGGCCAGGGAGGUUAAGUGACUUGCCUAGGGUCACAUACAGUUAAGACUCAGAGCCAGGAUUGAAACCUGGAUGUCCUCGAUUCUACCAGGACUCUGACCUUCGUGUCCCCUAUCACUUUAGAAUAUAUUGAGGGACUAAUAUUGGGACUUUCAUCAUAUACUGACCUAUUCUCCAAUUAGGCCUUCAUGAACAUUGUUUAUUUUAGUCCUUCAUUUAUUUGUUCAGUAUAAAACUCUUGAAAGUUUCUAUCCUGCUCUCUAGGAACGUGCAAAUUGGCAGUUGACUGAUACACAGAUGACUCAUAAUAAUACUGUGCACUCGAGGAAUAAAAUGUUUAAAAGGGCUCCUUAAAUCCCAUGCCCCCCAAGGCAGGCAUGUGGUGCCUCUUGCACAUUUCACAGGAGAGGAGACUCAGGCUCCGUCCCUCCAGAGUGCCUUCUGCGUGCAGGCCAGCACAGGUCCUGGCGGGACAGAGGUGGGAAAGAAACCAGGCAGAUCCUGCCUUCGCGGAGCUUCCUGUCAGGUGGGGAGUACGUAAUCAAUCAAAUAAUCACAAGUCAUGGGUGAUUGUGUGGCAAGGUCAGUGUGAUGAAGUGAAAAUAUAUGGACCUGUGACAGGGGUGCUGAUCUCGUUGGGAAGCUGUAUGAAGGCAUUUUGGAAAAAAUAACAUUUGAACUCAGGUCUAGAGAGAUUCUGAUGAAGAUUGGGAAGAGGUUUCUUGCCACGAUGUGUAGAGUCCCUGCAGGAUGAUUUCUGGGCUGAGCCUAAUCUUGGUGAAUCCAGUAAACAGAUUAGAGAUGGCCACUGAUGCCCACUGGAGGCACCUAUUUUUCUAUUCUAGAUAUCAGUGAGACACCUACCUAGCAUCUUCAGAGCUGAUUUACACUGGCUGGCUGUGGGGGUAUCGAAAACAGGGGUCAACAAACUAAGGUCAAUCUGGUCAGCUCCCUGUUUUGUGAAUAAAGUUUUAUUGGCACACAGCCACACCCAGUUGUUUGCAAAUCGUCUCUGGCAGCUUUCAUAUUGUAGUGACAGAAUUCAGCAGUUGUGAUAGAGACCAUGUGAUGCACAGAGCCGAACAUACUUACUCUCUGGCCCUUUUGCAGAAAAUGUUUGCCUGACCCCUGAGAGGGAGACAGAGGAUCUGAAGCAGGUUCUGUGCUGACAGCAGCGAACCCAAUAUAGGGCUCGAACUCACGACCGCGAGAUGAUGACCUGAGCCUAAGUCAGAGGCUCAACUGACAGGGCCACUCGAGUGCCCCUAAAAUGAUAUUAGUAAAGGUAAUAGUAAACUGUAUGGUUAUGGUUUCAUAUGUGACCUUUUAUUUACUUCUUACGAUGAUAAUGCUAUGAGGUAGAAUGUAAUGUCAUCUCCAUUUUCCAGAAGGGCAAACUGAGAGGUUAGGUGACUUGUGGAGGUUUCUAAAUUCCUUCAUCAGGUAAGUUCCCAGAAUGGGAACUUGAGGUGUCUUGAUUCCAAAACACAGAUGGCAAAAACGGCAUGGCAUCCUGCUGACAAGUGGAGGAACUGUAUUAGAAACUAACUAGUAACACAGGCAGUCUUAGAAAAAGGGUGUAGAAUUCAUUGAGGCAUCCCCCAGUGCAGUAAAAGUCCAUCUUUCAAGGCCCUGUUCAAAAGCUACCUCCUCCAUGAUGUCUUCCACUGUGUAGAGGAGAAAGGGACCUAGAGCUCAUGCACCUGUGUAAGUGCCCACCAGGCCAGGCAGGUAAGAUGAGGUGGAAUGAGCCAGGUCUGGGAGAAAAUAUCGUGCUUGAGGGAAGCAGGGAGCACGUGGCUCCUUUGAAUCGUGCCUCUCUCAUCCUGCCGAUCACUGCUGGGCAGGAAUGUCAUUUCAUAUUGCCAGAUCUCUCCAUUUUUCAAGAGAAGUGUCAGAAAUCCAGAUUUUCAUGUAAGUUUAGUUGGCGG